This 465-nucleotide ribosomal RNA is filed under the name uncultured bacterium. Its description in RNAcentral is "partial 16S ribosomal RNA". It matches the Rfam family "Bacterial small subunit ribosomal RNA", at positions 28 to 507 of the family's 1533-position model. The record is from RNAcentral.
GACGAACGCUGGCGGCGUGCUUAACACAUGCAAGUCGAACGGAAAGGCCCUGCUUGCAGGGUACUCGAGUGGCGAACGGGUGAGUAACACGUGGGUGAUCUGCCCUGCACUUCGGGAUAAGCCUGGGAAACUGGGUCUAAUACCGGAUAGGAGCCAUUUUUAGUGUGAUGGUUGGAAAGUUUUUUCGGUGUAGGAUGAGCUCGCGGCCUAUCAGCUUGUUGGUGGGGUAAUGGCCUACCAAGGCGGCGACGGGUAGCCGGCCUGAGAGGGUGGACGGCCACAUUGGGACUGAGGUACGGCCCAGACUCCUACGGGAGGCAGCAGGGGGGAAUAUUGCACAAUGGGCGCAAGCCUGAUGCAGCGAGGCCGCGGGGGGGAUGACGGCCUUCGGGUUGUAAACUCCUUUCGCUAGGGACGAAGCUUUUUGUGACGGUACCUAGAUAAGAAGCACCGGCUAACUACGUG